Molecule: transfer RNA, 68 nt
Filed under: Aconurella prolixa
Lineage: Eukaryota; Metazoa; Arthropoda; Insecta; Hemiptera; Cicadellidae
Also listed under: 2 other names
Description: tRNA-Asn
Source: RNAcentral
UUAAUUGAAGCCAAAGCAGGAGAGGCACCUUAAUGUUAAUAAGGAUAAUGAAAUAAUUUCCAAUUAAC